This 502-nucleotide ribosomal RNA is filed under the name uncultured bacterium. Its description in RNAcentral is "partial 16S ribosomal RNA". It matches the Rfam family "Bacterial small subunit ribosomal RNA", at positions 30 to 523 of the family's 1533-position model. The record is from RNAcentral.
AUUGAACGCUGGCGGCAGGCUUAACACAUGCAAGUCGAGCGGGGUGAUGGUGCUUGCACUAUCACUUAGCGGCGGACGGGUGAGUAAUGCUUAGGAAUCUGCCUAUUAGUGGGGGACAACAUCUCGAAAGGGAUGCUAAUACCGCAUACGUCCUACGGGAGAAAGCAGGGGAUCACUUGUGACCUUGCGCUAAUAGAUGAGCCUAAGUCGGGUUAGCUAGUUGGUGGGGUAAAGGCCUACCAAGGCGACGAUCUGUAGCGGGUCUGAGAGGAUGAUCCGCCACACUUGGACUGAGACACGGCCCAGACUCCUACGAGAGGCAGGAGGGGGGAAUAUUGGACAAUGGGGGUAACCCUGAUCCAGCCAUGCCGCGUGUGUGAAGAAGGCCUUAUGGUUGUAAAGCACUUUAAGCGAGGAAGAGGCUCUUUUGGUUAAUACCAAGAUGAGUGGACGUUACUCGCAGAAUAAGCACCGGCUAACUCUGUGCCAGCAGCCGCCGUAA